UUCCGCCGAAAUCCAUUUCUCACCUCUCGCGUCUCACCCGCCUGCGCGUACCCACCCCGAUCCUGUCCGCCAGUCCCGCGCGUGUCCUCCACCCGAAAAUCCUCCUUUCCUUCUCUUCUCUCCCAUCUCUUCUUUCCUCCCCGCAUCGCACGCCACCUCUCAAAUCCCAAUCUGCGCCGCCUCCACACGAGAUGGAUAUGGCGUGCCCUGGUGGAGUCUACGCCAGUCCCACACCUUCUGCCGCCCACUCUAGAGGCCAGACGGUGGAUAUGGUGUGCCCUGGUGGAGACGACGCUCGGCGCGACGAGAAGCUGCAGCAGCCCCGUGAAACUGCUGCGGAGUCCUGUGGGCGGCGGCUAUGGAGGACACGCAGCGCCCUCUGCUCCCUCAGCCAAAUUAUAUGGAAGCAUUCAUAAUUGGGGCACGGCAAAUUUGGAAGCAAAGGAACAAUCUCAUCUGUGAAAGAAAUCAGCCUAGCUUGCAAUAUUGGAAACAGCAUUUCAUUGAUGAAAGUCUACUACAAGCUCAUAGAUUCAGUGAAGAUAGAAGAGCGGCUUUCCUUAGUUGGACAGACCUCCUGUAGAGAUUAUCAGCUCUUUCCUCUGGCUUUGAUCUUUUGGUUUUUUUAGUUGUGUACAACCCUCUCCUCUCUCUCUGCUCUCUCACUACUUUGGCAGUUUGUACAGUUUUCUUUUUAGUUCUUUUGGUUUCAAUAAAAUCCUAAACAGCUGGGGCCUCCCUCACUGUAUAUACGUCAAAAAAAGAAGAAGUUGAUUUCGUUUCAGAAAUAAGGAGUUAAUGAUGCAGCUGCCUCAGAUUGAAAAUCCGCAAAGCAACUUACAAGAUCUUCUACAAGUUUUGAAGCUAAGGAUCAAAAUUGAUUGUGGCAUAUAUAAUCAGUUAAAUAAAUUCCAUA
Molecule: long non-coding RNA, 916 nt
Organism: Setaria italica (foxtail millet)
Lineage: Eukaryota; Viridiplantae; Streptophyta; Magnoliopsida; Poales; Poaceae
Exons: 2
Source: RefSeq, a predicted model, not a curated record